AUUGAACGCUGGCGGCAUGCUUUACACAUGCAAGUCGAACGGCAGCGCGGGCUUCGGCUUGUCGGCGAGGGGCGAACGGGUGAGUAAUACAUCGGAACGUGCCCAGUAGUGUGGGAUAGCUCGGCGAAAGCGGGAUGAAUACCGCAUACGACCUGAGGGUGAACGCGUGGGAGCUGCGGACCUCGCGCUAUUGGAUCGUCCGAUGUCAGAUUAGCUAGUUGGUGGGGUAAAGGCCUACCAAGGCGACGAUCUGUAGCUGGUCUGAGAGGACGACCGGCCACAGUGGGACUGAGACACGGCCCAGACUCCUACGGGAGGCAGCAGUGGGGAAUGUUGGACAAUGGGCGAAAGCCUGAUCCAGCAAUGCCGCGUGUGUGAUGAAGGCCUUCGGGUUGUAAAGCACUUUUGGCGGGAACGAAAAGGACUGUGCCAAUACCACGGUUCGAUGACGGUACCCGCAGAAUAAGCACCGGCUAACUACGUG
RNAcentral lists this ribosomal RNA (484 nucleotides) under uncultured bacterium. RNAcentral's name for it is "partial 16S ribosomal RNA". It matches the Rfam family "Bacterial small subunit ribosomal RNA", at positions 29 to 507 of the family's 1533-position model. The record is from RNAcentral.